This 514-nucleotide ribosomal RNA is filed under the name Raymunida confundens. RNAcentral describes it as "partial 16S ribosomal RNA". It matches the Rfam family "Bacterial large subunit ribosomal RNA", at positions 1831 to 2597 of the family's 2925-position model. Lineage: Eukaryota; Metazoa; Arthropoda; Malacostraca; Decapoda; Munididae. The record is from RNAcentral.
GUCUGUAUGAAGUUAUAUGAAGUCUGACCUGCCCAUUGAAUAAUUUAAAAGGCCGCGGUAUAUUAACUGUGCAAAGGUAGCAUAAUCAUUAGUUUUUUAAUUGAAGGCUUGUAUGAACGGUUGGACAAAGGAUAAUCUGUUUUUAUUUUUGUUUUUGAAUUUAACUUUUAAGUGAAAAGGCUUAAAUAAAUUUAAGGGACGAUAAGACCCUAUAAAUCUUUACAUUUAGUUAUUUUUUUAUUAAUUUAUAAUGUAAAUAAGAAUUAAAUAAAUAAUAUUUGUUAUAUUGGGGUGAUAAGAAUAUAAAAAUUAACUGUUCUAAAUUUGUAAUCAAAGUUGUUUGAUAAUAAUAGAUCCUUUUUAGAGAUUAAAAGUUUAAGUUACUUUAGGGAUAACAGCGUUAUUUUUUUUGAGAGUUCAUAUCGAAAGAAAAGUUUGCGACCUCGAUGUUGAAUUAAAAUUUCUUUAUGGUGUAGCAGUUAUAAGAGAGAGUCUGUUCGACUUUUAAAUUUUU